Long non-coding RNA from Gossypium raimondii (Peruvian cotton), 1097 nucleotides. RefSeq lists it as uncharacterized. The record is from RefSeq and is a predicted model, not a curated record. The transcript has 2 exons. Lineage: Eukaryota; Viridiplantae; Streptophyta; Magnoliopsida; Malvales; Malvaceae.
UAUUUCCACAUAUACCGUAGUCGGCAGAAAAUAUAAAAUAAAAAAAUAUAACUCAACAUAGAAUAAUAAUAAUAAUACAUAGUCAAAUUAAGAGUUUAAGUUAGUCAAAGCUUUCUCAUGACUCCAUGAGAGGCUGACGUUUGUCUGCAUUUUCCCCUCCCCACGUUCUAUAAAUACAGGCCUGCUCUUCUCACAAACUCCCCCCACCGCUCACCAACAUUGGGGUUUUUUUUCUCUCCUCUUUUUUAUUUAAUUUCAGUAUGGAAGAAUCUGUUAAGCUCAGGAGGGAUAGCGCCAUGGAUGAUCCAUCUUUCAAGCUUUCAUGCAUGUAUGUUAUUUGAUCCUCAUAUAGCGCUAUCCAUCCUGAGUUUCAUCGGUUCUUCUUGCUUGCUGUCGCUCCGUUAGCUGAAAAAGGAACACACAAAAAUCUUGUGGGUGUUGGGUAAGUUUUGCAGGCUCCACGAUUCCACUAGAAAGGGGGAGAAACAGUUGAAGAAAAUUCCCCUUUGUCGUAUAAAUUGGAGAAACAAACAAAUAAGGGGCCUUAUAUUUGUGGACAUAAUUAGUUUGGUCCUCUAAUGCAUAUGCGGAAGUGAUGCUUCUGCUUGUAUUUGGUGUUAUGGAGAGGCACUGUCGCUGUUAUAAAUUAAGUUAUAAGCACUAUUAUGUGCAUGAAAUUAUUGAAAGGAUGUAAUUUGUCUUAUUGUAGCAGUGGACAUUGAAUGAGAGUGAAGAGUAUGGCAUGUGCUUAGGUGCAGCCUGCAGGUCUCCUUUUGCUUUUACUAGCCUUUACCAUGCUCCGACUAAUGGGGGUUGACAUGAUAUUCCGAUUCAUAAUAAUAAUAAUAUUAUUGAAUAACCUCAACUUGGUGUUAUUUAAUAAGGGUGGAAUAUAUAUAUAUAUAGAAGCUAGGGACCAUUUUUCAAUGGAUUUGAAGACAGCUUUGAAUGGCAUAUGGCGCAAGUCAUGUAAAAAGGUUUCCAUUUCCAAUUCCACUUGCUGGGUUUUUAAUAAUCGUGAAGAUAUGGUUAAUGACCAGCAUGAACUGUUGAAUUUAAGCUCUUCUUUUUAUCUAUUUAUUUUUUAAGUUUUGGCC